Molecule: ribosomal RNA, 510 nt
Filed under: uncultured bacterium
Lineage: Bacteria
Description: partial 16S ribosomal RNA
Rfam family: Bacterial small subunit ribosomal RNA
Source: RNAcentral
GACGAACGCUGGCGGCGUGCUUAACACAUGCAAGUCGAAUGAAGAGCGAUGGAAGCUUGCUUCUCUCAAUCUUAGUGGCGAACGGGUGAGUAACGCGUAAUCAACCUGCCCUUCAGAGGGGGACAACAGUUGGAAACGACUGCUAAUACCGCAUACGAUCUAAUCUCGGCAUCGAGGAUAGAUGAAAGGUGGCCUCUACAUGUAAGCUAUCACUGAAGGAGGGGAUUGCGUCUGAUUAGCUAGUUGGAGGGGUAACGGCCCACCAAGGCGAUGAUCAGUAGCCGGUCUGAGAGGAUGAACGGCCACAUUGGGACUGAGACACGGCCCAGACUCCUACGGGAGGCAGCAGUGGGGAAUCUUCCGCAAUGGACGAAAGUCUGACGGAGCAACGCCGCGUGAGUGAUGACGGCCUUCGGGUUGUAAAGCUCUGUUAAUCGGGACGAAAGGCCUUCUUGCGAAUAGUGAGAAGGAUUGACGGUACCGGAAUAGAAAGCCACGGCUAACUACGUG